This 453-nucleotide ribosomal RNA is filed under the name uncultured Allobrachymonas sp. RNAcentral describes it as "bacterial SSU rRNA". It matches the Rfam family "Bacterial small subunit ribosomal RNA", at positions 923 to 1382 of the family's 1533-position model. The record is from RNAcentral. Lineage: Bacteria; Pseudomonadati; Pseudomonadota; Betaproteobacteria; Burkholderiales; Comamonadaceae.
GCACAAGCGGUGGAUGAUGUGGUUUAAUUCGAUGCAACGCGAAAACCUUACCCACCUUGACAUGGCAGGAAUCCUGAAGAGAUUGGGAGUGCUCGAAAGAGAACCUGCACACAGGUGCUGCAUGGCUGUCGUCAGCUCGUGUCGUGAGAUGUUGGGUUAAAGUCCCGCAACGAGCGCAACCCUUGCCAUUAGUUGCUACGAAAGGGCACUCUAAUGGGACUGCCGGUGACAAACCGGAGGAAGGUGGGGAUGACGUCAAGUCCUCAUGGCCCUUAUAGGUGGGGCUACACACGUCAUACAAUGGCCGGUACAGAGGGUAGCCAACCCGCGAGGGGGAGCCAAUCCCACAAAGCCGGUCGUAGUCCGGAUCGCAGUCUGCAACUCGACUGCGUGAAGUCGGAAUCGCUAGUAAUCGCGGAUCAGCAUGUCGCGGUGAAUACGUUCCCGGGUCUU